GACAACCCACACAUUACAUAAGAAAGGAGUUCCUCUCCUAAGUGGGUGCCUGACCUGGGAGAAGGACAUCCGGCCCAGAAACAUCAUCUGGCACCUCUGGGGAAUUCCAAGCUUGCCAAUGGGGAGACAGAGAACUAAUGCCCUCAGAUUGGGUCAUUGAUGGCUACCCCGAGGGUAAUUAGACACCUUGAUCAAUGAGAGCCGAAAGGGAAUUGCAGCCCCUCUUGUGCACCCAAGUCAGAAGGCUCAGGUGAAAGGGGCUAGAGGAGGGGGGCCGUGAGGUCACGGCCCUGGGCAGGCCCCAUUGGAGACGCGCGCCCCUCAACCCCCUUGCUGCCCCCUUGACUCCCCACAUCUCGCGCUUGUCUGUGAAACCGGAGCCCACCUUGCCUCCGUUCAGUCCACAGACGUUUUCGCCAAGGACUUGGGACCUGCUGGCUGUGACAGGGGCUCUGUGUGCAACCGUGAGACGUGGCAGCCUAGAGGGAGCCUUUUGGGAUCGAGAGAGAUGAGGUAAGUGAGAGGCCGCUGCAGGCCCCACGGAUGGCUUGCUGGGGCAGGUCGGGGGGCCUCCCUGUGUGACGCACAUGAGCGGCUCCCCCCAGCACAGAGGCGGGGCCCUGGGAGGGAGGGGUCCCCCAGUUGGGGACGCGAUGCCCCGGACUCUGCCCUGCCGGCUGGCCCCCACCUGCGCUCUCCUGAGGUCUGGAGCUCCGUCUUCCUGCCUUCGCUCCCUCCUCUGCGAGGCUGCUCCCUCUGCCUGGAGCCCUCCUCCCGCUGCCUGGCCAGGUCCUCAUUUCUCACAGUUCAGCCCAAAUUAUUAGCACUUCUAUAGGCUAUGAAGCCAGGUCCCCCUCAAACCGAGUUCCUCUGCUGGAUUUAUAAUCAUCCUCUCCAAAACCUCAUUCCUGUCCCAGUUCCCCUCAGGAUUGAGGAAUAUCAAAGAAAAGGGGGAUUGGGCUUUCCUGACAGGCCAGUGGUUAAGACUCCUUGCUUCUAAGGUGGGGGCAUGGGUUCAAUCCCUGGUCAGGGAACUAAGAUCUCACAUGCUGCGUGGCACAGCCAGAAAAACAAACAAACAAAAAAAGAAAAGUGGGGCUUCCCUGGCGGCGCAGUGGUUAAGAAUCCACCUGCCAAUGCAGGGGACACAGGUUUGAGCCCUGGUCCGGGAAGAUCCCACAUGCCGCGGAGCAACUAAGCCCGUGCACCACAACUACUGAGCCUGCGCUCUAGAGCCCACGAGCCACAACUACUGAAGCCCACAUGCCACAACUACUGAAGCCCGUGUGCCUACAGCCUGUGCUCUGCAACAAGAGAAGCCACCCAAUGAGAAGCCCGAGCACUGCAACGCAGAGUAGCCCCUGCUCGCCGCAACUAGAGAAAAGCCCGCGCGCAGCAACAGAGGCCCAACGCAGCCAAAAGAUAAAAAAAAAUAAAUUUUAAAAGGCAAGGGGGAUUGAAACUGAGCAGGAUCCUGUGAGGCUCUCCCGGGUACAAAAGCCCCUCCGUGAUCCCCCGUUUCUUGCUUGCAGAAAAAGGCUUCAGUCUCCUAGGCCUUCCCUGAGUUCCAAAGAGCAGAUUCAAGCAGGUACUAGUUACGGAAGUGAGGGAAUGCAGAUUCACAGGUGAAGCAAGUCAUGAUAAUAAUUCAGGGACAACACAGUCUUCGCUCCUCCUCAAGGAAUACGCAUAACAACCUGAGGCAUAUCCUUGAGCUGAUCUGCAGAAACAGGUGAAGGGUGGUGCUGGCCACAGCUGACCACAAGCACUAUAGCCCCCAGAGGCUGAUGACUGAGAUUCCUGAACCGCCACCUGUUACCUCACCACCAACCAAUCAGAAGAAAGUGCACGGCCCGCAGCCCUCCCCAAAAGUGUCGCCUCCAAAACCCCUUCCCGGAAAGCCACUGGGGAGUUUGGGUCUUUUGAGCGCGAGCUGCCUGUUCUCUGUGCUUGGCACCUACAAUAAACGCUGCGCUUCCCUUCACCACAACCCGGUGUCAGAAGACUGGCUUUGCUGUGUCAGGCGAGCAGACUCAAGUUCGGUCCAGUACAGUUAGGUCCAUCCUUACAAGCUGAGACCAUCGGUUUCCUUCGUGGCACCUUCCAGAGCUCUAAUUAAAAGCCUGUUGGUGGAACCACGAGCGCAGGGUCUGCCUUUCCCACUGCGCUGUCCUUGCGUGAGGUCAGGGGCUUUGCGUGACCCGUGUGGUGCAGCCGGCACAGGGCAGCACACAGCAGGUGCCCAAGAGGAGGCCAUUGCAUGGAUAAAUGAUGAACAAGCACUUGAAUGUGUGGCCGGGAGAUGGCGGGAGGCUGUCACCACGCAGCGACUGGGCUGCAAACCAGGGAGACAAUUCUUAGGCUGAUGACUGAAUGGGAUGCUCACGUUGUGAUCAAUGACUCGUCUUUGCAACUUGGACAUUUUUGCCUUUUGGCCUAAAUGUCUUCAGACCUGGAGAGGUGAGUCCUAACAGAAGGGCCCCUGGAGCAGGACAAAACACCCCUCGUGAAACGGACUCGUGUUAUUUCUGUGACCCUGGAUAUACGGUGCCCCCGGGGCAGUGGGGACGAACGUCCCUCUUGUGGGAAGGGCUUUCCUGCCCUCAGAGCCCAGGUAACAGUGCGCUCACCUGGGCCCCAGCUCCACCAUGGAUCAGAACAUUUCCAGAAGGUUCCUGUGCUCAGGUGGAGGUCAGGGCCCACUGUGCCCGGGUCAGGGCUCCUGGGUGGGGGGCACACAGCUUGAAGCAGGUGCAGGGCAGGGUCCUGAUAAGACCCUGUGGGCCUCUGUGGGCCUCCAGGAGACUGCGCACCUUGGGUUUCACCUGCUGAUGGCAGGCCCAGCCACACCCCAUGGACAGGCUGCCCCCUCACCCACGGGGACCUGGGCCACAGUCCAGCGUAGGCCCGGAGCUUUCUAGGGCUUGACCUGGAGUUAGUCACCUGGCAGCCCCGCCCUGCCGUCGCCCACCCGGGGCUGAGCCCGCAGGUCCCAGCCAGCCUUACUCAGCACUCACCUGUGCCGGGGCUGCAGGCGGUGCUCCGCUGCCUUGACCCAAGGCCUUGCAGCCCUUCCUGCCAGUCCCCCUGUGGGCCUGGCCGAGGCCCAUCUCUCUGCAGUGCGGACGUGGAAGGUCGGGGCUCUGGGCCCAAGUGCCACGGGCAAGGGGAAGCGAGCCCCUCUCACAGGCGUGAGACCCCCCCCCCCGUGCCCCGUGGACGAUUUUCCUCCAGGCCAGGCCUGGGCCAGUGGUGCUGCAGGACCACAGGUACACACAUGCACACUUGCACACACAUGUACACACUCUCAUUCCUACACACACACACUCACUCCACACGCAUGCUUGCUCACAGUGAAUCACAUCGCCCUUCAUUGAAGGUUUGGGGACAAAGAAGAUGUUUGACCUGCGGCAAUGGCGCAUCUUGACCCUUUUUUUUUUUUUGGCUAUGUUGGGUCUUCGUUGCUGCACGUGGGCUUUCUCUAGUUGCAGCGAGUGGGGGCUACUCUUUGUUGCAGUGCACAGGCUUCUCCUUGCAGUGGCUUCUCUUGCUGUAGAGCAUGGGCUCUAGGCACUCGGGCUUCAGUAGUUGCAGCAGGCAGUCUCAGUAGUUGUGGUUCACGGGCCCUAGAGCACUCGGGCUUCAGUAGUUGUGGCACACAGGCUCAGUAGUUGUGGCACACGGGCUUAGUUGUUCCUCAGCAUGUGGGAUCUUCCUGGACCAGGGAUUGAACCCGUGUCCCCUGCAUUGGCAAGCGGAUUCUUAACCACUGCGCCACCAGGGCAGCCCCUGGACCAUUUUUAAAGUCUCUAUUGAAUUUGUUACAAUAUUGCUUCUGUUUUAUAUUUUUGCUUUUGUUUGGCUGCAUGGCAUGUGGUAUCUUAGCUCCCUGACCAGUGAUCAAACCUGUGCCCCCGGAAUUGAAAGGCGAAGUUUCAACCAAUGGACCACCAGGGAAGUCCCAGCAUCUUAACCUUUAAUAUUAGUUAAUAAUAUAAAUAUUAUUUAAUAACUAAUAUUAAAUAUUUUUAAAUGUCACAUUUAAAAAUAAUGCUUUAAAUUGUGACAUUAACAUAAGCCCAAAGUAAAUACUCAAACAGCACGAAUGAGUCCUCCACCCCAAAGGCAAUCACUGUCCUUUCCCUUAUCUAUCAGGGCCACUGACCUCAGGCAGCCCAGCCAGCACCUGCCACGGGAGGACCCUGCCCCUCCUGGAAGGCAGGCUGGCACGGGGCCCAGACCUGCUCACAGCAGGCUCUCAAAGUGCCAUUUCCUGACCCCCUACUUCCGAACCCCAUGUUUGUUCUCAUCUGCCCUUGCCUGCAGAUAUGUUUUUUGUUGUUGUUGGUGGUGGUGGUGGUGUUUUUUGCGGUACACGGGCCUCUCACUGUUGUGGCCUCUCCCGCUGCGGAGCACAGACUCCGGACGCGCAGGCUCAGCGGCCAUGGCUCACGGGCCCAGCCACUCCGGGGCAUAUGGGACCUUCCCGGACCGGGGCACGAACCCGUGUCCCCUGCAUCGGCAGGCGGACUCUCAACCACUGCACCACCAGGGAAGCCCCUGCAGAUAUGUUUUUUAUCUUUACUUUUGGAUUUUUUCUUUUCUUCUUUUUCUAAUUGAAGUAAGAUACUCAUUACAAAUUUACCACUGUAACCAGGUUUAAGUGCACAGCUCAGGAGCAUUAAGCAUAUUCACAUUGUUGUGCAACCGUCAUCAUCUCCAGAAUUUCCAGAAUUUUCUCACCUUCCCAAAUCGAAACUCUGUCCCCAUUAAACACGACUGUCCGUCCUCCUCCCCAGCCCUUGUGCCCCCACCAUCUGCUUUCUGACGACUCUAGGGCCGCAUAUAAGUGGAGCCAAACCAUAUUUUCCCUUCUGCAUCUGGCUUCUCUCCGUGAGCUUCUCGUCCUUAUCAUUCAUCUACGUUGCAGCAGGUGUCAGGAUUUCCUCCCUUGCUGAGGCUGAAUAACUUGGGAAUUAUUGUUCAGACUCUUUCCCACGUGGCUCUCGCCACCCAAGGUGGGGGCCUGCUGGCUCCCCUUCUCCUUUACCCCCUGUACGCCCACCUGGUGCUGGGUCAGGGGCCCCCCUCCCAGACACUGCAGAAUUCAACUCAGAAUUCCCAUUCCUGGGCCCCAAACAGGGGUGAGGCUCACUGCAAGGGAUGAUGAAACAACAAGUGACUCUUAUCUGUCGCUCAGCUGCUCUGAGGGCUUUGCAGUUACACCCACUGCUCCCCUCAGAUCUGCAUCCCAGGGCGGACGAGCUGCAGGGGCCCCUCCCUCACUGGGAGGCUCGGAGGCCAGGAGGCCUGGCCUUUCUCCCGAACUUUCCCUGGGGCACACAGGCAACGCCCUCCUGGCCACAGGCACCCCAGGUAACCGACUGGGCCCUGGGCACUCACCUUGGUUCUGGGAACACGUUGCCAUUUUCACCGGCAGCCUUUGAGGCGUUGCUCGACAGGACUAAUGGGGAGGGUGGCGGGCGUGGGGCCCACAGAUGGGGCGAUCGCUGGGGACAGAAGCCCUUUCAGGCAGCCCUGUUCUGCCGGGCGAUGCGCCCAUGCCUCUCUGGCCCCUGCCCGACGUCCUGCCUGACUCCCGUCCCUCUCUUAGGCUCCUCCCGGCUCUGCCACCACCCACAGGCAGGAGGGCUCCAGCCCCCAAGCCCUCCCCACCCCGGCCCAGGCGGCCACCCCUGCACACUUUCUCUGGGGAGAAGCAUCCCCCGGGCGCCCCUGGAGGAAACCCUCUGGUGAGGCUGCCUUGCUAGGCCCGAGGCUGCGGCUGGCUACGCAUUUGUGCCAAUGAGAUGAGUCUGCCGUCUGGCAAGACAGAGGCACCAUUCAGGGCCGAGGGACCAUUCUUUCCCAGAGAGCGGGGCUGGGAGGGGCCCGGCCCCGAGGCCCCAGGUUCCCAGAGAGAGGCCUGCAGGUGGGGAGAAGCAGGGCGGAAGGGCUUCUCAGGAUUCCUGCCCUGAUCCGGGCCGCUCCCCGGGGUGCCGGCAGCAAGGCCUGCUUCCCCCCACUUCGUCCAGGGCCGCCCUGUGACCCGGGACGUCAUGGUCUCUGUGAGUCUGAGUGAGCCCGGGGGGCGGCGCGGGGGACCAGUCCUGACCGCCCAGCCGGCCAGCCUCCCAAACGUCCCCUCCAGGUGACUGCCUAACAGAAACCUCCAGUUCACUUCAGUUUACUGCUUAGUCCCCCCGGCUCCUUCUGUCAGGGGCCAAGUCCCGCGUGGGUCUCGGGUUUCUGCCCAUUUUGUGAACGGGGACACUGGCUGCCUUUGCUUCCGACCGGCCGUCUUUUCACGGUGCUUGAACAGCGCCAGCCUUGGUGACACAGAAGGACUUGCUGGGCACAAAGGUCAGCUGGUGCCGCCCUGGUGCCCCGUGAGCCUGCAGGAGGGUGAAGCCUCAGGCCUGUCCCAGGUCUGGUCACCUGGGUUAAGCGCUGUCCUUUUGUUCUAAAACGCGGGCGUGUCCAGGGGAGAAGUCUCAACAAACAAAAAGCACUUUCUCCUAAGAAGGCCCUUGACAAAAACAAGGACAGUGUGGUCCCCCGAAGGUUCCAGAUGGACCGGCUGCCAGGACAGCAGGAGGGGCAGGGGAGCUCAGGGACGCCCAGAGGAAGCCCAGCCCCGGGGCGUCCCUGUCCCUGGGCAGCCUGUAGGGCAGAGCCUCUGAGAGUGUGUCUCAGGGAAAUUACAUCCACUUUCCACAGCUUCUGUGGGAAGCUGGGUCUUUAGUGAGUGCUUUACUUUCUCUUUGUCGGCCCUGCCUGAGCCCGCUGCCUCAGCAGGACCGGCUGGUGGCCCCAAAGCCAGGGACACCCCACGAGUCCUGGCCAAAACCAGCCUGCAGGGCGCCGAGGCCCCAGUACCAGGCCGGGCAGGGUCCCUGGUGGACCUGCGGCAUCCCCCCAGCCCCUGCGCUCUCAAAGCCCCUCGGCGACGGGCGUGGCUCGUCCCGGGUCUGGCGGCAGUGUGCUGCCGCUCCUGGUCUGGCCAGUGGUCAAACCUGCAGGGCCUGACACCCCGAUGGAUAAGAGGGGUGUGCGCGCCAUGACGCGCGUCUGUAAGAUCUACGCUGGUGAAGCCCCAGCAGGCUCGGAGCAGACGGGCACUCCUUGCUGACAGAUUCAAAACCCAAGCUAAAGCGCUGUCCCCAGUUAAGAGCUAACGUGCUAAUGAGUAGCCAAUUUUGUUUUUUUUUAAAGUCGAUCUAUUUGUGAAAUAUCAAUAAAGCCUACGUUUUUAAUAUUUUUUUUAAAAGUUAAAUCUGAAUAGAACCUCUCUUUUCUCCCUGUGCCAAACAGAUGUCUCAGUGCCCACUUGUUUGAUUAACCCGCCAGGAGAACUGUUGGUCCCUGGGCCAGGAGGGACCCAGGUGAAGGGCCCCCCCAGCCCCUGUGGCCACUCGGCUGUGCCCCAGCUGCCCACCCACACGGUGCUGGCCCCGGCGACCUGUUCAUCAACUUGAACCUGGCCGGCGAGUGGCUAAACCUGAUUGAAGAACUUCCGUCCAGGCAGUUCUCAGGAAAUACAUAUGUAUUUCUGAAUCCCAAGAGAAAGCAGUCGAGAAACUGGCACGACAGGAAAAACGACUAUAAUUCUUCUGCAAGAGUUAGAACUUACUAAUCAACACAAAGACGCCGCCAGCUGGGGAAGCCCCUGGCGUCCAGUCGGAAGCUGGAAGUGCUGACGGUGGAGCGGCUCAUCUGGGAAACAGGGCUGUGGUUGGCGUGUGGGAGAGAUGGGGCGGCGUUGCUCCCAGCGGCUGUCAUGGUGUAAGAGGUGAGAGGGCCGGCGCUGCUGGCAGUGAGUCAUUCCUGCGUAUAAAAUCCACACCAGUCAGCACACACACCCAGCGCACUGUUCAAAUCCUGCCAGAGGUGUUGAGGAGUAGCGUACUUGGGAGGCCUUUGGUUCCCGGUCAGUGUCGGGUGUUAACCUCGCUGGCCGCUCAAGCGUCACAUCAUCCCAGCACUCCCCGAGAACGUUCGAGGGUCUGCUGUGGGCUGUGGACACUUGUAAGUGCGGCUAAAGCUAAUAUUCCUUAUUAAACGGAACUUUUUAGAGAUCCGUAACGAUGCAGAGAGUCUGAGAGAUGGCGCAAGUAUUUGAGAAUGAUAAAAGAGAUCAACUAGAUCAUAGCAUUUGUUGUUAUAUGUUUUCAAAACAGAAAGGGAGUUCCCUGGCUCUUUCACUGCUGAGGGCCUGGAGUUACCCCUGGUCGGGGAACUAAGGUCCCACAAGCCACGCGGCACGGCCAGAAAGAAUAAAAAUGAAACAGAAAAGCCAGGCUUCCCUGGUGGCGCAGUGGUGGAGAGUCCGCCUGCCGAUGCAGGGGACACGGGUUCGUGCCCCGGUCCGGGAAGAUCCCACAUGCCGCGGAGCGGCUGCGCCCGUGAGCCGUGGUCGCUGAGCCUGAGCGUCCGGAGCCUGUGCUCCGCAACGGGAGAGGCCACAACAGUGAGAGGCCCGCGUACCCCAGAAAAGAAAAGCCCCCAAACUUUUAACAUGACCCUAUCAUAGGAAAAUUAGUCACUCGUUUUAACCAAUCAAUAUCAGAGACAUGGAAAUAAAGUGUUAUAGAACAAGUACAGACUAAUUCAUGAUUUCAGGAAUUUCUGAUAAUUAUCAGGAAUUCUGACUUUCAUCCCGGGUCUUUUUUUUUUUAAUUUUUAAUUAAUUUUUAUUGGAGUACGGUUGCUUUGCAGUGUUGCGUUAGCCUCCACUGCACAACAGAAUGACUCAGCCGUACGCAUACAGAUAUCCCCUCCCUUUUGGACUUCCCUCCCAUUUAGGUUACCACAGUGCAUCAGGUAGAGUUCCCUGUGCUGUACGGUGCGUUCCCGUCAGUUGUCUAUUUUAUACAUAGUAUCAAUAAUGUAAAUGUGUCAAUCCCAGUCUCCCAGUUCCUCCCACCCCACUCCUUUCCCCCACGGUAUCCAUACAUUUGUCCUCUCCGUGCGUGUCUCAUCAAACCUGUCAGGAAUUUGGGAUGAAGGACGGGCAGCCCAAGCCCACCUCCUGCCCAUCCCCAGCUAUAUCGGGCCCCUUGUUCAUUCAACAAACGUUUCUUGAACUCUGACGAUGCCCAGGGCAGGGCCCUGGUAUGCAGAGUGAGUGGACAUGGGCCCCGCCCUUCAGGAGGGCACACAGGCAGGGGUGGCCGUGAACAGGUGUUUAGAGCGGGAUGGGUUAUCUACUGCUGCCCAGAGAAAGAGGCCAAGGAGACGCACCAGGUAGGCUGGCCUGAGAGGAGGGUGCGUCCCAGGUGGGGCGGGUGGGAGCUCUGUGGAGGAAGGGGCGGAGGGGAGCAGGGGCGAGGUCAGCGCUGAGAGCUCCAGGCCCAGGGCUGCCCUCCCGGCACCACCGGCAGACAGCCUGGGAACGCCCGCCUCCUGCCCGUGGGCUGGGCCUACCCGCGUGCACAGCGCAUGUGUGCGCACAAUCAGAGACAACACCCUUAGGUCAUCAAGUCUGGGGCCCCACCCGUCUGGGCAGCCUGAUUCAGGUGAGGCGGCACGCCGGGAGCCUGAAGGGUGAGCGGCUGCCUGGUGAGGUCGGGGGGUGGACCUCCUCGUGCGACCACUGUGGGAACAGCUGCCAUGCACGUGUCCAGGCUCAGCUCCACGGGGCCUCACAACAGGCCCGCGGGGGGGCCCCGCACCCGCCCGGUGGUGGCUGGGCCCGUGGCUCCCGCCCUGGGUGUGGUCCUGCCGCAGGGGCUGGUGGCAGCUCGCAGGCCUCCACCGGUAGAGGCGGCCCUCCAGGGUGGGCAUCCCUGUCGUUACCUGGGCUUUGUACCAGUUAGUGCCCCGUGGAGCAUUUCCAAGGGCGGCCUGGCAGCCCCCAGCCCCAGAGCCGCUCCCCGUCCCUGGCCCUGGCUGGCCUCCAGCUCAGCCCCAGCGCCCCACCCCGUCCAACCCAGCCCCUCUGCGGCCCCAGCGCUCCCGGGGGACCCUGAGAGACCCAGGGGCCCAGGCUUUCCUCCCGGGAGGCUGGAGAGAGCAUCUCGAAGGUGGAGUCUGAGCUCUCAGGGACGGCGCUGGGCGGGGCAUCUCUGCUGGUGGGGCGUCCCAUGUCGCAGGCACGCAGCUCAUCACAGGUGAGGACAAGGCGGCUGAGAGGAUUAAGCGGUGGGGAUAGUGGGGACAGCAUGGGUGGGGCUAUCCGUCUGGCUGGCUCCAAGCCCAGGCUCCUUCCUGAGGAGUGCACGGAAGGCAAACGCUCGCACACGGACCGUCAGGACCCCUCUGCGCCCCCAGCAGAGACCGUUCAAGGACGAGGGCCCUGCUUCCUGGCCUGGGUCCCUUCUCGGACAGGGUGUUGACCGGCCCCAUGGGCUCCGUCCGCAGCCUUGACUCUCCGGGAAGAAGAGGCUGUGAUCCGCUGGACUGACCUGGGGUCACAGGUCAGAGGAUCUGAUUCCUCAGCAAAUCUGGGGAGACAGGGGAGGAUCCCUCAGAAUGAAGGAUGUGAACAACUCGCACCAGCAGAAGUGAUGAACCGCGCAGGGAAGAAGUUGCCAGAACAGUGGCAUGGCGGCCCCGGGCAGGAGGCGGGGCUGCGGGGACGGCCCUCGGGCUCUGCGUGCUGAGACACCCGGCGCCUGGCAGCCGUUACCCCACACUCGCUUUGUAAUGACUCAUCAAGCCCCACGUCUGUGCUCCGGUCUCCCCCGUACAGAUUUAUCCUGCACACGGCGUCAUUCAGGAGGCCAGGGCCCUUCGCCGCGGGGACCAGAGGCUCCCGGCGUCCCUCGGAAGGGAUGGGAAGAGCGGCUCACAGCCGGAUCCGUAGCACUGCCUCGGGUGUAGACACAGGUGUGCGCGAAUGUGAAUUCACCUCACCCUUGUUGGGAAGGCUGGGGUGACAUCCGAGGAGGCUUUGCCAGCCGGGGGGCAUCAGGGCGCUGGUCAGAGGUGGGAUGAGGGUCAUUCAUGGGAAGGUGGCUUUGAGACCUCUCGGCCACCCUGCCCCUGGCACAGGGUGAACCUGGCCGGCGGUGAAGCCUGCCUGGGUGACCCGGAGCCGUCUCGAGGGCGGCGUCCAGUUCCCACGUGAGUCCUCGGGACAGUGGAGUGUGCACCGUGGCCUGGGUGCCGGGGGUGGAGGGGACGACCCCCACCCAGCUGGCAGCCCCCAGUGCUAUUUGGAGGUGACUCAGGGGCCUGCCCUCUCCCCAUGCACAGCCCCGCCCUUCCAGGGCUGUGCUCACCUUCCUUCUGUACGCGGGCCUCUCACUGUUGUGGCCUCUCCCGUUGCGGAGCACAGGCUCCGGACG
Molecule: long non-coding RNA, 11291 nt
Organism: Orcinus orca (killer whale)
Lineage: Eukaryota; Metazoa; Chordata; Mammalia; Artiodactyla; Delphinidae
Exons: 3
Source: RefSeq, a predicted model, not a curated record